UACAGAGGUCCCAAGCGUUGUUCGGAUUCACUGGGCGUAAAGGGUGCGUAGGCGGUCGGGUAAGUCUGAUGUGAAAUCUCCGAGCUCAACUCGGAAAUGGCAUUGGAUACUACUCGGCUAGAGGGUUUGAGGGGGGACUGGAAUACUUGGUGUAGCAGUGAAAUGCGUAGAUAUCAAGUGGAACACCAGUGGCGAAGGCGAGUCCCUGGAAAACUCCUGACACUGAGGCACGAAAGCUAGGGGAGCAAACAGG
This 253-nucleotide ribosomal RNA is filed under the name uncultured bacterium. RNAcentral describes it as "partial 16S ribosomal RNA". It matches the Rfam family "Bacterial small subunit ribosomal RNA", at positions 524 to 776 of the family's 1533-position model. The record is from RNAcentral.